UGGCCAAAAGACUAAUAGAGAUUAUAUUCAUCAAGAAAGAUGGAUAAUAGUGACAAUCACUUAAAAUGAUACUAUUAGACUUGAAAACAAGCUCGACAACUCCUAAAAUCUGGAUUGGAACUUGAGUUCUAUCUUCCAUAUUUAGGAAUCUCUCGUCGUUCUCAAAUUUUCUACUAAUUUGAAGUCCUUACAAUGAAUUGCAUAUG
Molecule: long non-coding RNA, 206 nt
Filed under: Elaeis guineensis (African oil palm)
Lineage: Eukaryota; Viridiplantae; Streptophyta; Magnoliopsida; Arecales; Arecaceae
Description: long non-coding RNA (EGUI_LNC050705)
Source: RNAcentral